This 96-nucleotide transfer RNA is filed under the name bacterium (Candidatus Ratteibacteria) CG23_combo_of_CG06-09_8_20_14_all_48_7. RNAcentral's name for it is "tRNA-Ser". It matches the Rfam family "tRNA". From Rfam's summary of the family: Transfer RNA (tRNA) molecules are approximately 80 nucleotides in length. Their secondary structure includes four short double-helical elements and three loops (D, anti-codon, and T loops). The record is from RNAcentral. Lineage: Bacteria; Candidatus Ratteibacteria.
GGAGAGGUCGCAUAGCCUGGUUUAGUGCGGCGGAUUGCUAAUCCGUUGAGGUGGGGUUUCCUGCCUCCGAGGGUUCAAAUCCCUCCCUCUCCGCCU